RNAcentral lists this ribosomal RNA (384 nucleotides) under uncultured Planctomycetota bacterium. RNAcentral's name for it is "bacterial SSU rRNA". It matches the Rfam family "Bacterial small subunit ribosomal RNA", at positions 902 to 1278 of the family's 1533-position model. Lineage: Bacteria; Pseudomonadati; Planctomycetota. The record is from RNAcentral.
CAAAAGAAUUGACGGGGGCUCGCACAAGCGGUGGAGCAUGUGGCUUAAUUCGAUGCAACGCGAAGAACCUUACCGGGGCUUGACAUGGUAGAAGUAGGAACCCGAAAGGGUAACGAACGGUAUCCAGUCCGUAACUAUCACAGGUGUUGCAUGGCUGUCGUCGGCUCGUGUCGUGAGACGUUGGGUUAAGUCCCCUAACGAGCGAAACCCUUGUUUUUAGUUACCAGCGGGUUGUGCCGGGUACUCUAGAAAGACUGCCGUCGUCAAGACGGAGGAAGGUGGGGAUGACGUCAAGUCAUCAUGGCCCUUAUGCCCCGGGCUGCACACGUGCUACAAUGGUCGGUACAAACGGAAGCGAAGCCGAGAGGUGAAGCGAAUCCAAGC